AUGGGUUCUGUCUGGCAGGUUCCCCUUCAGCCUGAAGGAUUUACUUUAACAUUUCUUGUAUGUUUAUUUUUAGACAUUGUUUUCGUCAUGAUUAAAUGAAGCUUUCCUAUUUAUCAAGGAUGUUAUUUAGGAGGAUCAAAUAAGAAUAGAAUUUUGUUGAACCUAGGUUGCAAUUCUUGGAUGGUAGAA
Ochotona curzoniae (black-lipped pika) is the source of this 189-nucleotide long non-coding RNA. RefSeq lists it as uncharacterized. NCBI's taxonomy places the organism in Eukaryota, Metazoa, Chordata, Mammalia, Lagomorpha, Ochotonidae. The transcript has 3 exons. The record is from RefSeq and is a predicted model, not a curated record.